RNAcentral lists this long non-coding RNA (384 nucleotides) under Fragaria vesca (wild strawberry). RNAcentral describes it as "long non-coding RNA (FVES_LNC000314)". The record is from RNAcentral. Lineage: Eukaryota; Viridiplantae; Streptophyta; Magnoliopsida; Rosales; Rosaceae.
CCAAGGUGGACAGAAGUGGUGCUUACAUUGUCAGGCAGGCUGCCAAGAGCAUUGUUGCAAAUGGUCUUGCUCGCAGGGCCCUCGUGCAGGUCUCCUAUGCCAUUGGUGUCCCUGAGCCCUUGUCGGUCUUUGUUGAGACCUAUGGAACUGGAAAGAUCCCUGACAAGGAGAUCCUUAAAAUUGUGAAGGAGAACUUUGACUUCAGGCCGGGAAUGAUCACCAUCAACCUGGAUCUCAAGAGGGGUGGCAACAAACGAUUCUUGAAGACAGCUGCCUAUGGACACUUCGGAAGGGAUGACCCUGACUUCACCUGGGAGGUUGUGAAGCCCCUCAAGUGGGAGAAGCCUCAGUCUUAAGUCUUGAGAUUGGUUGAUUCUGCCCUGC